RNAcentral lists this long non-coding RNA (538 nucleotides) under Rattus norvegicus (Norway rat). RNAcentral describes it as "long non-coding RNA NONRATT028898". Lineage: Eukaryota; Metazoa; Chordata; Mammalia; Rodentia; Muridae. The record is from RNAcentral.
GGAACAUCCAGUGCUUUCAGACAUUCGGCCAGACUUGCUUGGCAGCUCUGAGGCUUGGUGGGACAUUUGGAGAUCUGUAUAUGACUUCUGGGAACUCGAGGUGCUCAUGUGCGGGACUUAGAACCCGCCUUCGUACCAUCUGGGCCUGGAAGACUUUGCUGGAACUGUGCACUGUUCCUGUGACUGCAGCUGAUGCAGACACAGGGCUCAGAGGGAGUAAAAGUAUUUCUCUAUACCCAGGCUUUGGACGGCUCCUCGUGGACAGGGUGGCCCCAGUUCCUCGAGCCAUGUCUGUGCUAUGAAGUCCCCUUCUGACUGUGAAAAGAGUUGGGCUAGGCCUGAUGCCUGCAGCCCUCGUGAUCCAAGUAUCUGGGGGAAGUUCUGGCACUCCUGAUCACAGCCAGAUCUUUUGAGUGUCUAUGUUCAGUAUUUUCUCAGAUCACCUAUAAGUAAAUUUGUGAAGCCCUUAACUCUAUCACCUGCAUUUCCCUGGCCAGUAUGGAGCAGCCCACAAACCUGAAAUCCCUCCUCUCCCCGG